RNAcentral lists this ribosomal RNA (195 nucleotides) under uncultured Neisseriales bacterium. Its description in RNAcentral is "partial 16S ribosomal RNA". It matches the Rfam family "Bacterial small subunit ribosomal RNA", at positions 137 to 334 of the family's 1533-position model. Lineage: Bacteria; Pseudomonadati; Pseudomonadota; Betaproteobacteria; Neisseriales. The record is from RNAcentral.
GGGGGGAUAACCAAUCGAAAGAUUGGCUAAUACCGCAUACGCUCCGAGGAGGAAAGCAGGGGACCUUCGGGCCUUGCGUUAUUCGAGCGGCCAAUAUCUGAUUAGCUAGUUGGUGGGGUAAAGGCCUACCAAGGCGACGAUCAGUAGCGGGUCUGAGAGGAUGAUCCGCCACACUGGGACUGAGACACGGCCCAG